RNAcentral lists this transfer RNA (77 nucleotides) under Candidatus Wallbacteria bacterium. RNAcentral's name for it is "tRNA-Val". It matches the Rfam family "tRNA". From Rfam's summary of the family: Transfer RNA (tRNA) molecules are approximately 80 nucleotides in length. Their secondary structure includes four short double-helical elements and three loops (D, anti-codon, and T loops). The record is from RNAcentral. Lineage: Bacteria; Candidatus Walliibacteriota.
GGGCGGUUAGCUCAGCUGGUUAGAGCGCCUGCUCGACACGCAGGAGGUCGAUGGUUCGAGUCCAUUACCGCCCACCA